This 2921-nucleotide ribosomal RNA is filed under the name Staphylococcus aureus. RNAcentral's name for it is "23S ribosomal RNA". It matches the Rfam family "Bacterial large subunit ribosomal RNA". The record is from RNAcentral. Lineage: Bacteria; Bacillati; Bacillota; Bacilli; Caryophanales; Staphylococcaceae.
UUAAGUUAUUAAGGGCGCACGGUGGAUGCCUUGGCACUAGAAGCCAAUGAAGGACGUUACUAACGACGAUAUGCUUUGGGGAGCUGUAAGUAAGCUUUGAUCCAGAGAUUUCCGAAUGGGGAAACCCAGCAUGAGUUAUGUCAUGUUAUCGAUAUGUGAAUACAUAGCAUAUCAGAAGGCACACCCGGAGAACUGAAACAUCUUAGUACCCGGAGGAAGAGAAAGAAAAUUCGAUUCCCUUAGUAGCGGCGAGCGAAANGGGAAGAGCCCAAACCAACAAGCUUGCUUGUUGGGGUUGUAGGACACUCUAUACGGAGUUACAAAGGACGACAUUAGACGAAUCAUCUGGAAAGAUGAAUCAAAGAAGGUAAUAAUCCUGUAGUCGAAAAUGUUGUCUCUCUUGAGUGGAUCCUGAGUACGACGGAGCACGUGAAAUUCCGUCGGAAUCUGGGAGGACCAUCUCCUAAGGCUAAAUACUCUCUAGUGACCGAUAGUGAACCAGUACCGUGAGGGAAAGGUGAAAAGCACCCCGGAAGGGGAGUGAAAUAGAACCUGAAACCGUGUGCUUACAAGUAGUCAGAGCCCGUUAAUGGGUGAUGGCGUGCCUUUUGUAGAAUGAACCGGCGAGUUACGAUUUGAUGCAAGGUUAAGCAGUAAAUGUGGAGCCGUAGCGAAAGCGAGUCUGAAUAGGGCGUUUAGUAUUUGGUCGUAGACCCGAAACCAGGUGAUCUACCCUUGGUCAGGUUGAAGUUCAGGUAACACUGAAUGGAGGACCGAACCGACUUACGUUGAAAAGUGAGCGGAUGAACUGAGGGUAGCGGAGAAAUUCCAAUCGAACCUGGAGAUAGCUGGUUCUCUCCGAAAUAGCUUUAGGGCUAGCCUCAAGUGAUGAUUAUUGGAGGUAGAGCACUGUUUGGACGAGGGGCCCCUCUCGGGUUACCGAAUUCAGACAAACUCCGAAUGCCAAUUAAUUUAACUUGGGAGUCAGAACAUGGGUGAUAAGGUCCGUGUUCGAAAGGGAAACAGCCCAGACCACCAGCUAAGGUCCCAAAAUAUAUGUUAAGUGGAAAAGGAUGUGGCGUUGCCCAGACAACUAGGAUGUUGGCUUAGAAGCAGCCAUCAUUUAAAGAGUGCGUAAUAGCUCACUAGUCGAGUGACACUGCGCCGAAAAUGUACCGGGGCUAAACAUAUUACCGAAGCUGUGGAUUGUCCUUUGGACAAUGGUAGGAGAGCGUUCUAAGGGCGUUGAAGCAUGAUCGUAAGGACAUGUGGAGCGCUUAGAAGUGAGAAUGCCGGUGUGAGUAGCGAAAGACGGGUGAGAAUCCCGUCCACCGAUUGACUAAGGUUUCCAGAGGAAGGCUCGUCCGCUCUGGGUUAGUCGGGUCCUAAGCUGAGGCCGACAGGCGUAGGCGAUGGAUAACAGGUUGAUAUUCCUGUACCACCUAUAAUCGUUUUAAUCGAUGGGGGGACGCAGUAGGAUAGGCGAAGCGUGCGAUUGGAUUGCACGUCUAAGCAGUAAGGCUGAGUAUUAGGCAAAUCCGGUACUCGUUAAGGCUGAGCUGUGAUGGGGAGAAGACAUUGUGUCUUCGAGUCGUUGAUUUCACACUGCCGAGAAAAGCCUCUAGAUAGAAAAUAGGUGCCCGUACCGCAAACCGACACAGGUAGUCAAGAUGAGAAUUCUAAGGUGAGCGAGCGAACUCUCGUUAAGGAACUCGGCAAAAUGACCCCGUAACUUCGGGAGAAGGGGUGCUCUUUAGGGUUAACGCCCAGAAGAGCCGCAGUGAAUAGGCCCAAGCGACUGUUUAUCAAAAACACAGGUCUCUGCUAAACCGUAAGGUGAUGUAUAGGGGCUGACGCCUGCCCGGUGCUGGAAGGUUAAGAGGAGUGGUUAGCUUCUGCGAAGCUACGAAUCGAAGCCCCAGUAAACGGCGGCCGUAACUAUAACGGUCCUAAGGUAGCGAAAUUCCUUGUCGGGUAAGUUCCGACCCGCACGAAAGGCGUAACGAUUUGGGCACUGUCUCAACGAGAGACUCGGUGAAAUCAUAGUACCUGUGAAGAUGCAGGUUACCCGCGACAGGACGGAAAGACCCCGUGGAGCUUUACUGUAGCCUGAUAUUGAAAUUCGGCACAGCUUGUACAGGAUAGGUAGGAGCCUUUGAAACGUGAGCGCUAGCUUACGUGGAGGCGCUGGUGGGAUACUACCCUAGCUGUGUUGGCUUUCUAACCCGCACCACUUAUCGUGGUGGGAGACAGUGUCAGGCGGGCAGUUUGACUGGGGCGGUCGCCUCCUAAAAGGUAACGGAGGCGCUCAAAGGUUCCCUCAGAAUGGUUGGAAAUCAUUCAUAGAGUGUAAAGGCAUAAGGGAGCUUGACUGCGAGACCUACAAGUCGAGCAGGGUCGAAAGACGGACUUAGUGAUCCGGUGGUUCCGCAUGGAAGGGCCAUCGCUCAACGGAUAAAAGCUACCCCGGGGAUAACAGGCUUAUCUCCCCCAAGAGUUCACAUCGACGGGGAGGUUUGGCACCUCGAUGUCGGCUCAUCGCAUCCUGGGGCUGUAGUCGGUCCCAAGGGUUGGGCUGUUCGCCCAUUAAAGCGGUACGCGAGCUGGGUUCAGAACGUCGUGAGACAGUUCGGUCCCUAUCCGUCGUGGGCGUAGGAAAUUUGAGAGGAGCUGUCCUUAGUACGAGAGGACCGGGAUGGACAUACCUCUGGUGUACCAGUUGUCGUGCCAACGGCAUAGCUGGGUAGCUAUGUGUGGACGGGAUAAGUGCUGAAAGCAUCUAAGCAUGAAGCCCCCCUCAAGAUGAGAUUUCCCAACUUCGGUUAUAAGAUCCCUCAAAGAUGAUGAGGUUAAUAGGUUCGAGGUGGAAGCAUGGUGACAUGUGGAGCUGACGAAUACUAAUCGAUCGAAGACUUAAUCAA